GCGCUCGUAGCUCAACUGGCAGAGCGUCGGCUUGCGGAGCCGAAGGUUGUAGGUUCAAGUCCUACCGGGCGUG
Molecule: transfer RNA, 73 nt
Filed under: bacterium
Lineage: Bacteria
Description: tRNA-Arg
Rfam family: tRNA
About the family: Transfer RNA (tRNA) molecules are approximately 80 nucleotides in length. Their secondary structure includes four short double-helical elements and three loops (D, anti-codon, and T loops).
Source: RNAcentral